RNAcentral lists this ribosomal RNA (207 nucleotides) under Triticum aestivum (bread wheat). RNAcentral describes it as "partial small subunit ribosomal RNA". The record is from RNAcentral. Lineage: Eukaryota; Viridiplantae; Streptophyta; Magnoliopsida; Poales; Poaceae.
AUGCAGAAGCAGGGGAGGUCGAUGCCAUCAACGGAUAUAGGCGACACCUCGCGCGACUUGGCGCGGUUGUGGACGAGAUCCCUUUCUGACCGGACCAUGCCGGAUCAUGCGGAAACGGAGCGAGGGCGAACGGGAUCCACAAACGAGGAGGCAAGGCAUGCUGUUGUUCCUGCAGCGAUGAAGUACAGAGAGAGCGGGAGAUCGUGA